Molecule: unclassified non-coding RNA, 633 nt
Filed under: Hevea brasiliensis (rubber tree)
Lineage: Eukaryota; Viridiplantae; Streptophyta; Magnoliopsida; Malpighiales; Euphorbiaceae
Source: RNAcentral
ACCAUACCGAUAAUACAAAAUCAUCGGAUUAAUAAGUUGUUUGAACAGUAAUUCCAGAUAGUAUAUACCACAAAACAAUUCCCCGGUUCGAUAAAUAUGUCAAUACAAACUUCCUUUUAUUGGAGGGGAAAUUAGAAUCAACUCAUAGACCUUAUUUGGAAUGAUAAUCUCACCAAGAAGACGCCUUAGAUACAGUACUCGAAUAGGAUACAACAAAUAAAUUAACAAGACCACGACCAUGACCACGACCACAAACUCCUUGUGUCCAAGGAAAUAACGAGAUGAGUCUAGUUCCUGUCGUCUGAACAAUGGAAUGAAACCAUUCGAAAAGACUUAAGCCUGCAAAAAGCUAGCAUACUUGGCACCGAGGAAAAGCCUUUGGAUACAGAGCAAAGCGUUUUUCGUGACCUCAGCAUUAUCGUGGUUCAACAGUCUCAUUACGCGCUCCUUAGCUUUGAGGUCAUUCACUAUAAUUCGCCCAGCAGAAUGGCACUGAAUGAACUGUGAUAGAUCAUAGCAAGCAACAGCAAGUGUCCUUGCAUCACUUGAUGUGUCAAGAAUUGUAAUGAGCACCCUCAAGAUCUGGAAAUCAUUCUCCUCAAAAUUAUUUAUGUUCUCCCGCCAGAAUAUAGG